UACGGAGGGUGCGAGCGUUAUCCGGAUUUACUGGGUUUAAAGGGUGUGUAGGCGGGCUGUUAAGUCAGUGGUGAAAUCUCCGGGCUCAACCCGGAAACUGCCAUUGAUACUAAUGGUCUUGAAUGUUGUUGAGGUAGGCGGAAUAUGUCAUGUAGCGGUGAAAUGCUUAGAGAUGACAUAGAACACCGAUUGCGAAGGCAGCUUACUAAACAAAUAUUGACGCUGAGGCACGAAAGCGUGGGGAUCAAACAGGAUUAGAUACCCUGGUAGUCCACGCCCUAAACGAUGAUUACUGGACAUACGCGAUAUACAGUGUGUGUCUGAGCGAAAGCAUUAAGUAAUCCACCUGGGAAGUACGUCCGCAAGGAUGAA
Molecule: ribosomal RNA, 372 nt
Filed under: uncultured bacterium
Lineage: Bacteria
Description: bacterial SSU rRNA
Rfam family: Bacterial small subunit ribosomal RNA
Source: RNAcentral